GCUCCCGUAGGAGUCCGGACGAAGUCUACCUGCAAUUGAAGUCAGGGAUGGAGUCCAGCUCCCGUAGGAGUCCAGGUGAAGUCUUCUUACAGUCGGAGUCGAGGAUGAAGUCCAACUCCCGUAGGAGUCCGGACGAAGUGUACCUGCAAUUGAAGUCGGGGAUGAAGUCCAGUUCCCGUAGGAGUCUGGGCGAAGUCUUCUUGCAACC
This 208-nucleotide long non-coding RNA is filed under the name Elaeis guineensis (African oil palm). RNAcentral describes it as "long non-coding RNA (EGUI_LNC072701)". Lineage: Eukaryota; Viridiplantae; Streptophyta; Magnoliopsida; Arecales; Arecaceae. The record is from RNAcentral.